This 253-nucleotide ribosomal RNA is filed under the name uncultured bacterium. Its description in RNAcentral is "partial 16S ribosomal RNA". It matches the Rfam family "Bacterial small subunit ribosomal RNA", at positions 524 to 776 of the family's 1533-position model. The record is from RNAcentral.
UACGUAGGGUGCGAGCGUUGUCCGGAAUUAUUGGGCGUAAAGGGCUCGUAGGCGGUUUGUCGCGUCGGGAGUGAAAACCUUGGGCUUAACUCAGGGCUUGCUUUCGAUACGGGCAGACUAGAGGUAUGCAGGGGAGAACGGAAUUCCUGGUGUAGCGGUGAAAUGCGCAGAUAUCAGGAGGAACACCGGUGGCGAAGGCGGGUCUCUGGGCAGUAACUGACGCUGAGGAGCGAAAGCGUGGGGAGCGAACAGG